UGCCGCGUGCAUGAUGACGGUCCUAUGGAUUGUAAACUGCUUUUUUACGGAAAAAAACAUGGCUUCUUGUAACGUCUUGACCGUGCCGUGACAAUAACGAUCGGCUAACUCCGUGCCAGCACCCGCGGUAAUACUGAGGAUCCAAGCGUUAUCCGGAAUCAUUGGGUUUAAAGGGUCCGUACGCGGUUUAGUAUUUCAGUGGUGAAAGCCCAUCGCUCAACGGUGGAACGGCCAUUGAUACUGAUACACUUGAAUUAUUAUGAAGUAACUAAAAUAGGUAUUGUAGCGGUGAAAUGCUUAGAGAUUACAUGGAAUACCAAUUGCGAAGGCAAGUUACAACUAAUGGAUUGACGCUGAUGGACGAAAGCGUGGGUAGCGAACAGGAUUAGAUACCCUGGUAGUCCACGCCGUAAACGAUGGAUACUAGCUGUUGGGAGCGAUCUCAGUGGCUAAGCGAAAGUGAUAAGUAUCCCACCUGGGGACUACGUUCGCAAGAAUGAAACUCAAAGGAAUUGACGGGGGCCCGCACAAGCGGUGGAGCAUGUGGUUUAAUUCGAUGAUACGCGAGGAACCUUACCAAGGCUUAAAUGUAGUAUUGACCGCUUUGGAAACA
This 613-nucleotide ribosomal RNA is filed under the name Flavobacteriaceae bacterium So2Pw_1398. Its description in RNAcentral is "bacterial SSU rRNA". It matches the Rfam family "Bacterial small subunit ribosomal RNA", at positions 395 to 1008 of the family's 1533-position model. Lineage: Bacteria; Pseudomonadati; Bacteroidota; Flavobacteriia; Flavobacteriales; Flavobacteriaceae. The record is from RNAcentral.